AGGUUACUGCUAUCGGUGUUCGCUAAGCCAUGCGAGUCAUAUGUUCGUAAGAACAUGGCGUACUGCUCAGUAACACGUGGAUAACCUGCCCUUGGGUCCGGCAUAACCCCGGGAAACUGGGGAUAAUUCCGGAUAGGCCAUGACAUCUGGAAUCGAGUUGUGGUUUAAACGUAAGGCUCUUGGAUGGGUCUGCGGCGGAUUAGGUUGUUGCCGGUGUAACGUACCAGCAAGCCUGUAAUCCGUACGGGUUGUGGGAGCAAGAGCCCGGAGAUGGAUUCUGAGACACGAAUCCAGGCCCUACGGGGCGCAGCAGGCGCGAAAACUCUACAAUGCAGGCAACUGCGAUAGGGGAACAUCGAGUGGCAUCCACCAUGGAUGUCUGUCCAAUCGUCUAAAAAACGAUUGUCAGCAAGGGCCGGGCAAGACCGGUGCCAGCCGCCGCGGUAAUACCGGCGGCUCGAGUGGUGGCCGAUAUUAUUGAGUCUAAAGGGUCCGUAGCCGGCUUUGCAAGUCCUAUGGGAAAUCCAGCGGCUUAACCGUUGGGCUUUCAUGGGAUACUACAUUGCUUGGGACUGGGAGAGGUAGGAGGUACUCAGGGGGUAGGGGUGAAAUCCUGUAAUCCUUUGGGGACCACCGGUGGCGAAGGCGUCCUACCAGAACAGGUCCGACGGUGAGGGACGAAAGCUAGGGGCACGAACCGGAUUAGAUACCCGGGUAGUCCUAGCCGUAAACGAUGCUCGCUAGGUGUCACGGCAGUCGUGAAUUGUCGUGGUGCCGUAGGGAAGCCGUGAAGCGAGCCACUUGGGAAGUACGACCGCAAGGUUGAAACUUAA
Molecule: ribosomal RNA, 833 nt
Filed under: uncultured archaeon
Lineage: Archaea
Description: bacterial SSU rRNA
Rfam family: Archaeal small subunit ribosomal RNA
Source: RNAcentral